CCAAUAGCGUAUAUUAAAGUUGUUGCAGUUAAAAAGCUCGUAGUUGAAUUUCGGGAUCAAUAUGUCGGUCGUGCCUCGGUACGUACUGGCAUCAUUGGUUUCUCCCUUCUGAUGAACCAUAAUGCCAUUAAUUUGGUGUUGUGGGGAAUCAGGACUGUUACUUUGAAAAAAUUAGAGUGUUUAAAGCAGGCUCACGCUUGAAUACAUUAGCAUGGAAUAAUGAAAUAGGACGUUUGAUUCUAUUUUGUUGGUUUCUAGGAUCGACGUAAUGAUUAAUAGGGAUAGUGGGGGGCAUUAGUAUUCAAUUGUCAGAGGUGAAAUUCUUGGAUUUAUUGAAGACUAACUACUGCGAAAGCAUUUGCCAAGGAUGUUUUCAUUAAUCAAGAACGAAAGUUAGGGGAUCGAAGACGAUCAGAUACCGUCGUAGUCUUAACCAUAAACUAUGCCGACUAGGGAUCGGAUGAUGUUAAUUCUUUUUAAUGACUCAUUCGGCGCCUUAUG
This 501-nucleotide ribosomal RNA is filed under the name uncultured Glomeromycotina. RNAcentral describes it as "partial small subunit ribosomal RNA". It matches the Rfam family "Eukaryotic small subunit ribosomal RNA", at positions 591 to 1092 of the family's 1831-position model. Lineage: Eukaryota; Fungi; Glomeromycota. The record is from RNAcentral.